AGCCGGACCCUGGGAGUCGGCAGCUGCUGAAUCUGGUCAGGCCUUGACGGGAGCAGCCAUAAGGCGGCCACUGGCGUCCCAGGUCAUCUGGCUGUG
This 96-nucleotide signal recognition particle RNA is filed under the name Planctomycetota bacterium. Its description in RNAcentral is "Planctomycetes bacterium (activated sludge metagenome) signal recognition particle sRNA small type". It matches the Rfam family "Bacterial small signal recognition particle RNA". From Rfam's summary of the family: The signal recognition particle (SRP) is a universally conserved ribonucleoprotein involved in the co-translational targeting of proteins to membranes. Archaeal SRP consists of a 7S RNA and homologues of the eukaryotic SRP19 and SRP54 proteins. Lineage: Bacteria; Pseudomonadati; Planctomycetota. The record is from RNAcentral.